Molecule: ribosomal RNA, 447 nt
Filed under: uncultured bacterium
Lineage: Bacteria
Description: bacterial SSU rRNA
Rfam family: Bacterial small subunit ribosomal RNA
Source: RNAcentral
UGGGGAAUAUUGGACAAUGGGCGAAAGCCUGAUCCAGCCAUGCCGCGUGAGUGACGAAGGCCUUAGGGUUGUAAAACUCUUUCGUCGGGGACGAUAAUGACGGUACCCGAAGAAGAAGCUCCGGCUAACUUCGUGCCAGCAGCCGCGGUAAUACGAAGGGAGCUAGCGUUGUUCGGAAUCACUGGGCGUAAAGGGCGUGUAGGCGGUAUGUUAAGUCAUGUGUGAAAUCCCUCGGCUCAACCGGGGAACGACGCAUGAAACUAGCAAGCUAGAGUACCAAAGAGGGUGGUGGAAUUCCCGGUGUAGCGGUGAAAUGCGUAGAUAUCAAGAGGAACACCUGAGGUGAAGACGGCAUCCUGGACCAAUACUGACGCUGAGGAGCGAAAGCCAGGGGAGCAAACGGGAUUAGAUACCCGGGUAGUCCCUGAGCGGGCUGGCAAGGCGCAU